CAAUAGCGUAUAUUAAAGUUGUUGCGGUUAAAAAGCUCGUAGUUGGAUUUCUGCCGAGGACGACCGGUCCGCCCUCUGGGUGAGUAUCUGGCUCGGCCUGGGCAUCUUCUUGGAGAACGUAGCUGCACUUGACUGUGUGGUGCGGUAUCCAGGACUUUUACUUUGAGGAAAUUAGAGUGUUUCAAGCAGGCUUACGCCUUGAAUACAUUAGCAUGGAAUAAUAAGAUAGGACCUCGGUUCUAUUUUGUUGGUUUCUAGAGCUGAGGUAAUGAUUAAUAGGGAUAGUUGGGGGCAUUCGUAUUUAACUGUCAGAGGUGAAAUUCUUGGAUUUGUUAAAGACGGUCUACUGCGAAAGCAUUUGCCAAGGAUGUUUUCAUUGA
This 380-nucleotide ribosomal RNA is filed under the name uncultured eukaryote. Its description in RNAcentral is "partial 18S ribosomal RNA". It matches the Rfam family "Eukaryotic small subunit ribosomal RNA", at positions 592 to 976 of the family's 1831-position model. The record is from RNAcentral.